CGGCUCCCACCGAGAAGGAAGGAAACAACGGGUGAACUCUGAAUCUUCAACUGAGGGUCUCUUUCUGUUGCCCAGGCUUGAAUGCAAUGGUGUGAACACAGCUCAUUUCAGCAGCGUUGACCUCCUGGACUCAAGAUAUCCUCCUCCAUCAGCCUCCCUAAGUAACCAAGACUACAGAUAUGGGGGUCUCACUUUGUUGCCUAGGCUGGAGUGUAAUGGUGAUUCUGACAAAUGAUCAUAGCACGCUACAACCUCUACAUCCUGGGCUCAAGAGCUUCUCCUGCCUCAGCGUCCCAAGUAACUGGGACUACAGUCAGGUGUGAGGAAAUGGAGAAGUUGAAUUGGUGGCUGGGAGUCUACACUUCAACUGUUUGCAACUCCCUUCAGAAAACAUGGCCCUUUGAUGUCUCUUCAUGUUUAGCUUGUAGUCAGAGUAGCCAAUUUUUCAUAGAAACAUUAAGUAUUUUUUAUGAGAAAAUGUAUUUUGAAAUUAAAAACAUGGCUCAAAUAAAAAAUAAACAAUCAAUUCAUCUACAUAAAAACUACAAAAGUUCAAAUUCAUUUCCAUUUUGCCUGCCAACAUAUGGAAAGGACAGAGGACUGCAGGACAGGCCAUAUCUGCAUAUAUUCCUUAAAGAGUUCUGAAGAAAAAGCAUCAACGGGACUUCACUGUACUAGUCUGCUGUCUCCUCUGCCUUAGAGAAGCAAAGAAAAGUGCUGGAGAAACACAUGACAAUGCUUCUCCCUCAAGGAAGCUGGAGAAUAGCUGGACAAUAGACAAUGAGUUGCAUGAAUAUAAAAACUAAGAGUUACUGUUCCUGUGAUAAAGAUAAUUAAAAAGUUUGGAAACAAGAAGGUUAACUUGGUAAAAUGGAUGCAGCGAAAUGUUAGAAUAUGAAUAAAAGAUAAACAAGACUUCACCAUGUUGACCAGGCUGGUUUUAAACUCCUGACCUCAAGUGAUCUGCCCGCCUUGGCCUCCCAAAGUGAUGGGAUUACAGGUCUUAUAUUUAAGAGUUGGGGCUGAGACCAGUCCUGGCCAGGGCAGUUACCAGAACGGUCUCCGGAGGCCAGGAUUUGUGGAGGGUCCACCAGCAGG
RNAcentral lists this long non-coding RNA (1098 nucleotides) under Homo sapiens (human). Its description in RNAcentral is "novel transcript". Lineage: Eukaryota; Metazoa; Chordata; Mammalia; Primates; Hominidae. The record is from RNAcentral.